Molecule: long non-coding RNA, 1139 nt
Filed under: Ursus maritimus (polar bear)
Lineage: Eukaryota; Metazoa; Chordata; Mammalia; Carnivora; Ursidae
Description: lncRNA (ENSUMAG00000001927.1)
Source: RNAcentral
GCCCUCUUGGCUCCCGGGCCCCCUCCUCCUCCUCCGAGGCUAUCUCUGCCUGGCCCCAUGGCCGUUGUGAAGAGGUCAUGCCCCUGCUACUUUUGCUUGCCCUCCUGGCUGGGGCGCCCUCUGUGUCAUCCACAUGACGUCUUUCACUGGGAUCUGACCCUCGGGGGCACAGGCGUCUUGGCAGAGCCACCAGCUGGACCUCAGCCGCUUGUUCUAACUCAGUUCCAGACCCCUUGGAGAACGUGAUGAAAGAAAUGCAGAUGAAGCAGCCCCGGCUCAUUAUGUAGGUCAAAACCUACCAAAUUACAACUUGGGCGAAUCUUGAAAACAUGCUGAAUGAAAGAAGCCAAAUCCAGAAGACCAUCUGUGACUCCAUUUAUAUGAAAUGCCCAAAAUGGGCAAAUCUGCAGAGACAGAAUAGUGUUUUAAAAGAGGAAGGAAAUUGUUUGCCACAUGCUACAUUGGAGAUGAACCUUGAGAACAUCAUGCUGAGUGAAAUAAACCAGACACAAAAGGACACAUUUGAGCAAGUCACGUGGUCCAACCCACAAUCAAAAGAUAAGGAAGCAUCCUGGGCUUAUCAUGAAGCCAUGACAGGAGGGGCUGCAUACCUUCCACGUUUCCUGAUUUCAUGGAUGAGGAAUCUGCCCGUCUCUCUGUAACAGCAGUUCUCAAAUUUGUCUGCAUAUUGAAAUAAUCUGAGAGGUUAGAAAAAUAUCGGUUUCUGUAUCCUACCUGCAGAGAUUGUGAUUUAAUUAGUCUGGUGUAUUGUCUGCAAGAGGAAACUUUUCCUUCUUUUUUUUUUUUUUUUAAGAUUUUAUUUAUUUAUUUGACAGAGAGAGAGAGAGAGAACAAGCUGGGGGAGCGGUAGAGGGAGAGGGAGAAGCAGGGUCCCCGAUGAGCAGCAGCCCCAUGAGGGACUCAAUCCUGGGACCCUGAGAUCAUGACCUGAGCAGAAGGCAGACGCUUAACUGACUGAGCCACCCAGGCGACCCAAGAGAAGAAACUUUUCUUUAAAAGAUCUCUAGUUGGCUGGGGCGCCUGGGUGGCACAGUGGUUAAGCGUCUGCCUUUGGCUCAGGGCGUGAUCCCGGCGUUAUGGGAUCGAGCCCCACAUCAGGCUCCUCCGCUAUGAGCCUG